This 467-nucleotide ribosomal RNA is filed under the name uncultured bacterium. RNAcentral's name for it is "partial 16S ribosomal RNA". It matches the Rfam family "Bacterial small subunit ribosomal RNA", at positions 28 to 507 of the family's 1533-position model. The record is from RNAcentral.
GACGAACGCUGGCGGCGUGCUUAACACAUGCAAGUCGAACGGAAAGGCCCUGCUUUUGUGGGGUGCUCGAGUGGCAACGGGUGAGUAACACGUGAGUAACCUGCCCUUGACUUUGGGAUAACUUCAGGAAACUGGGGCUAAUACCGGAUAGGAGCUCCUGCUGCAUGGUGGGGGUUGGAAAGUUUCGGCGGUUGGGGAUGGACUCGCGGCUUAUCAGCUUGUUGGUGGGGUAGUGGCUUACCAAGGCUUUGACGGGUAGCCGGCCUGAGAGGGUGACCGGCCACAUUGGGACUGAGAUACGGCCCAGACUCCUACGGGAGGCAGCAGUGGGGAAUAUUGCACAAUGGGCGGAAGCCUGAUGCAGCAACGCCGCGUGCGGGAUGACGGCCUUCGGGUUGUAAACCGCUUUCGCCUGUGACGAAGCGUGAGUGACGGUAAUGGGUAAAGAAGCACCGGCUAACUACGUG